GCAAACUUGGUCAUUUAGAGGAAGUAAAAGUCGUAACAAGGUUUCCGUAGGUGAACCUGCGGAAGGAUCAUUAAAAUGGACCCGGUCCUAGCGGCCGACCUCAUCACUGAAGCCGUAAGGUAGCUCCUACCCGAGGUGAAUGUGUAAACCAAUUGUUGAACCUUCUACCUUUUGCUUCGGCAGUACAAUCCGGCUUUUACGCUUGUAUAGCGGGAAUGGUAAAGCUGCCAGAAGCCUUUUUACAAAACCAGUUGAUGAAAUGUCAUGCUGUCUGAUACUCUUUAUGGUAUUUGAGAAAUCGAAUAACUGUUAAAACUUUCAGCAACGGAUCUCUUGGUUCCCGCAUCGAUGAAGAACGCAGC
RNAcentral lists this unclassified non-coding RNA (362 nucleotides) under uncultured fungus. RNAcentral describes it as "partial contains small subunit ribosomal RNA, internal transcribed spacer 1, and 5.8S ribosomal RNA". The stretch from base 1 to 73 matches the Rfam family "Eukaryotic small subunit ribosomal RNA", at positions 1759 to 1831 of the family's 1831-position model. Lineage: Eukaryota; Fungi. The record is from RNAcentral.